Molecule: ribosomal RNA, 546 nt
Filed under: uncultured bacterium
Lineage: Bacteria
Description: partial 16S ribosomal RNA
Rfam family: Bacterial small subunit ribosomal RNA
Source: RNAcentral
GCAUCCUGUGCAGUGCRACGGUAGUAUCAUCGACGUGCAGUAGUGGGGAUACCCGCAAACCGACWAWCCGAUACGACCWCGGGURAACAGGGGAUCSAAGACCUUGNCUAUCGAGCGCCGAUGUCAGAUWGCUUGUUGCGGGGUAAAGCCCACCAAGGCGACGAUCUGUAGCUGGUCUGAGAGGACGACCAGCCACACUGGGACUGAGACACGGCCCAGACUCCUACGGGAGGCCAGCAGUGGGGAAAUUUUGGACAAUGGGCGCAAGCCUGAUCCAGCCAUGCCGCGUGCGGGAAGAAGGCCUUCGGGUUGUAAACCGCCUUUUGUCAGGGAAGAAACGCUCCGGGCUAAUACCUYGGAGUAAUGACGGUACCUGAAGAAUAAGCACCGGCUAACUACGUGCCAGCAGCCGCGGUAAUACGUAGGGUGCAAGCGUUAAUCGGAAUUACUGGGCGUAAAGCGUGCGCAGGCGGCCUUUGCAAGACAGAUGUGAAAUCCCCGGGCUUAACCUGGGAACUGMUUUGUGACUGMUGGCUAGAGUGCGCA